AUAGAGCUUUGCUUCUAUGAGGCUGUGAGGCGUGGCGGACGGGUGAGUAACACGUGGAGAACCUGCCCUAAAGCGUGGGAUAACAUUUGGAAACAGUUGCUAAUACCACAUAAAAGUAAGAAUCGCAUGAUUUUUAUUUGAAAGGCGCAAUUGCGUCACUUAAGGAUGGCUCUGCGCUGCAUUAGCUAGUUGGUUAGGUAAUAGCUAACCAAGGCCACGAUGCAUAGCCGGCCUGAGAGGGUGAUCGGCCACAUUGGGACUGAGAGACGGCCCAAACUUCUACGGGAGGCAGCAGUAGGGAAUCUUCGGCAAUGGAGGGAACUCUGACCGAGCAACGCCGCGUGAGUGAGGAAGGUUUUCGGAUCGUAAAACUCUGUAGUAAAGCAAAGAACAAGAAGGAUAGUGGAAGGCUCCUUCUCUGACGGUAACUUACUAGAAAGUCCCGGCUAACUACGUGCCAGCAGCCGCGGUAAGACGUAGGGGGCAAGCGUUGUCCGGAUUUACUGGGCGUAAAGUGAGCGUAGGCGGUUCAUUAAGUUGGGUGUGAAAUCCCUCGGCUCAACCGAGGAUCGUCGCCCAAAACUAUAGAACUUGAGUGCAGAAGAGGAGAGUGGAAUUCCAUGUGUAGUGGUGAAAUGCGUAGAUAUAUGGAGGAACACCAGUGGCGAAAG
This 671-nucleotide ribosomal RNA is filed under the name uncultured bacterium. RNAcentral describes it as "bacterial SSU rRNA". It matches the Rfam family "Bacterial small subunit ribosomal RNA", at positions 69 to 721 of the family's 1533-position model. The record is from RNAcentral.